ACUCCCAACCCUUUGUGAACCCUACCGUCGUUGCCUCGGCGCUGAGCGGCGGCUACCCGGGAGAAGCUACCCUGGAGACACCUACCCUGUAGGUGGCUACCCUGGAGUUACCCUGUAGUUGCACUUUACGUUCCGCCGGAGGACCACACAAACUCUUCUGUAUUCUGGUGUAUCUCUGAGUACGUAACAAAAUAAGUUAAAACUUUCAACAACGGAUCUCUUGGUUCUGGCAUCGAUGAAGAACGCAGCGAAAUGCGAUAAGUAAUGUGAAUUGCAGAAUUCAGUGAAUCAUCGAAUCUUUGAACGCAUAUUGCGCCCAUUAGUAUUCUAGUGGGCAUGCCUAUUCGAGCGUCAUUUCAACCCUUAAGCCCUGUUGCUUAGCGUUGGGACCCUACCCUGUAGCAGGCGUAGUUCCCUAAAGGUAGUGGCAGUGUUAGGUACACUCGUAGCGUAGUAAUCUUUUCUCGCUCCUGUGGUGGCCCUGACGACUCGCCGUAAAACCCCCUACAACUUCU
RNAcentral lists this ribosomal RNA (515 nucleotides) under Hypoxylon sp. olrim978. RNAcentral's name for it is "eukaryotic LSU rRNA". The stretch from base 201 to 354 matches the Rfam family "5.8S ribosomal RNA". The record is from RNAcentral. Lineage: Eukaryota; Fungi; Ascomycota; Sordariomycetes; Xylariales; Hypoxylaceae.